UGCUCUGAUCAAUAACGUUAGUCACCAUGCAA
Molecule: non-coding RNA, 32 nt
Filed under: Rattus norvegicus (Norway rat)
Lineage: Eukaryota; Metazoa; Chordata; Mammalia; Rodentia; Muridae
Source: RNAcentral